This 465-nucleotide ribosomal RNA is filed under the name uncultured bacterium. RNAcentral describes it as "bacterial SSU rRNA". It matches the Rfam family "Bacterial small subunit ribosomal RNA", at positions 338 to 795 of the family's 1533-position model. The record is from RNAcentral.
CCUACGGGUCGCACCAGUGGGGAAUAUUGCACAAUGGGCGCAAGCCUGAUGCAGCCAUGCCGCGUGUAUGAAGAAGGCCCUAGGGUUGUAAAGUACUUUCAACGGGGAGGAAGGUGUUGUGGUUAAUAACCACAGCAAUUGACGUUACCCGCAGAAGAGGCACCGGCUAACUCCGUGCCAGCAGCCGCGGUAAUACGGAGGGUGCAAGCGUUAAUCGAAAUUACUGGGCGUAAAGCGCACGCAGGCGGUCUGUCAAGUCGGAUGUGAAAUCCCCGGGCUCAACCUGGGAACUGCAUUCGAAACUGGCAGGCUAGAGUCUUGUAGAGGGGGGUAGAAUUCCAGGUGUAGCGGUGAAAUGCGUAGAGAUCUGGAGGAAUACCGGUGGCGAAGGCGGCCCCCUGGACAAAGACUGACGCUCAGGUGCGAAAGCGUGGGGAGCAAACAGGAUUAGAUACCCGGGUAGUC